RNAcentral lists this ribosomal RNA (253 nucleotides) under uncultured bacterium. RNAcentral's name for it is "partial 16S ribosomal RNA". It matches the Rfam family "Bacterial small subunit ribosomal RNA", at positions 524 to 776 of the family's 1533-position model. The record is from RNAcentral.
UACGAAGGGGGCUAGCGUUGUUCGGAAUUACUGGGCGUAAAGCGCACGUAGGCGGUUUUGUAAGUCAGGGGUGAAAUCCCGGGGCUCAACCUCGGAACUGCCUUUGAUACUGCAAGUCUUGAGUCCGGAAGAGGUGAGUGGAAUUCCUGGUGUAGAGGUGAAAUUCGUAGAUAUUAGGAAGAACACCGGUGGCGAAGGCGGCGCACUGGUCCGAUACUGACGCUGAGGUGCGAAAGCGUGGGGAGCAAACAGG